UGCCUGCCACUUGACGGAGCGGUCACGCUACCUUAGCGACACCUGCGCCGAGCGGUUACCGGCGCGGGAUGGUGAGGCGGAGGAAGGCACACUUGAGUUCGCGCGGAUGACUGCUAGAUGGCGCAAGCGUCCUCUUCAUUCCUUUACCUUAUGCUGGCUCUGCGCGGCGGUAAUUUAGUGGCCGCCUCUUUUUCGGGUAGUUUGUUGUCAGCGGGCAGAUCAGCUGAUUGGUACUUGAGCAGCUCUAGUGCGGUAUUUACUUGUUACGCUCGGUUUAUGUAUGUUUUCUAUUUGUACUUAGUUUCGCUGGAUUAGGCUAGUACUGGGCUAAUAUUUCUGUUAUCCGUAUAUCCAUUGCUAACGAUUACGUGUAAGGGAUAUGUUCAUGCAUUGCCUUUUAUUUUGCGCGUCCUUAAGUACUUGCGCGUAGCCUCGAUUGGCGACCUCUAGGAAGCGGCCAUGAUCGCUCUUUUGACCGUGAUCCUCCGUCGAGGAUGGAGCUGUGACGCCUGAGCAGAGGCGAUAUCGUCGAAACCGCUACGUUUCGCAUCGUUUCGAGGCAGUGGGAUGACCUUGACCUUGGGUCAUGCGUUGGUCAUGAUCUGGAUCCCCGCGGCCUAAAGUCCAAUACAAGAGAGACGGUGCCAACAGCGCGUUUACGGCAGUCACCCAGAGUGAAGCUCAGGCAGCAAUAGUUUCGACGUCGCCUUCCUGGUGGCUUCGGCUCAGCUGAUCGUCGAUUAUUCUCGUCGCCGGGAGCUACGAAUUGCGAUGCUGGUGUGUGGCCGCCAAUGCGGACGCGGUUGCCUGCCGCCGUGGGGACUGGUUCCAGGACGGAGGUUCCAGCAUCCUAAUGUCCCUGCGGCGGCGGAGGUCCGCGUCUGCUGGCGCCUGCUGUCUGGAGGCAGCUGCUGCUGAUGGCAGCCCUUCGUGCUGGAUCUGGCAGCCUCAAUCAUCAGUGAAGAGGUGCCCAGCUGGAGCUGCCACUCACAGUGCAGCAGUGUGAUCCGGCCCAGCUCACCCAGCAGUAUGAACAGUAUGUACCUGGGGCUUGUGUUCGUGGAGUAAUGUGCAUUGCAGGGAGGCUCUCAGGCUCAGUGCUCAGACAGUUGCAUAGGAUAGUUGACAACCUCAGACGGGUGAACUUAGUUAGUAAGAAUGUGUGCCCUCAUAUGUGUUAUGCUAUGUGUAGCAAUGAGAGAUGAUUGAUGCUGCGGAGUGCUAUAUUAAGUGAGGUACACGUUUGCUCAGUGUUACUGGCUGUUUGUAGGUUAAGAUAAGCAGAGCCUGCAUUUAUUUGAAUAUCCUGUGUUUCCCAUACCCUCUGCCUCACGCCUGAUCAAGUAAUGGAUCUUGACAAGCUGUCGAAAGAGGAGCUGGUCAGUGAGCUGAGUAGACGAGGGGAGGAUGUGAGAGGAAGGAAGCCAGUCCUGCUGGAGAGGUUGCGUGAGAUCUUGAAAGAGGAGCAAUACCAGAGUCAGGGAGCCAUGAGUCAAGCCAAAGAAGAGAAAGACAACCUACAGGAAGAACAUGAGCCAAAGAAGGUAGAUGACGACAAGGGUGUUGAGACACAAUCAGGAUUUGAAGGUGGAGAUGCCACAAGUGACAGGCCUGCCUCAAGUGUCAGAACGGCAGCCAGCAUGGCCUCUGCCCGGGCCAUGGAAAGAGCGAAGCUGGCUGGGCUCUCUGCGAAGAGGCAAGCUCUGAAAAAGAAGCACCUACUUGAAGCACAGGAAGCCGAGCUUCGUCGAAUGAGGGAAGAGGUUGAGCUUCAAGCUGAGAUUGAGGAGUGUGAAGCCCGAGAGAAGGUGUUUGAAGAAAUGAUGACUGAAGCACAGAUGGAGCAGAUGAUGUUGCAGCCACUUGAAACCUCGUCUCAUCCGUUGGAGAAGGAGCCCAAGGCUGUACUUCAGCUACAGGAAGUUGCAACAAAGCCGCAAGUAACUGUGCAAACAGGGCUAAAAGAAGUUGCAGCAAAGCCGCAAGUAACUGUGAAAACAGGGCAAAAAGAAGUUGCAACAAAGCCGCAAGUAACUGUGCAAGCAGGGCAAAAGGAAGUUGUAGCAAAGCUGAUGGAAGUAACUGUGCCAAAGUUGCAAGGAGCUGCAGCUCAACGACAAGAAAAGAAGUCAAAUGCUGCAUCUCUGUUGCAGGAAGUUGCAGAAAGGCCACAAGAUGCGGCACAAGCAAGGACUGCAUCACACAAGCAAGAGGUGAUUGCAAGGUCACAAGAAUCUGCCUAUUCACAUGAAGCAACAGAGCCCAUGAGACAUGACAUCAGAAUGGCAAGAAGGCUCCAGCUGCCUGCACUUGACCUGACUGUGUUCAAGGGAGAUUCUUCAAAGUACAAGCCAUUCUUGAAAGCCUUCGAGGCGAACAUUGCAAGUAAUGUGGAUUCGGAGGCAGAGAAGCUGUUGUACCUGCUCAAGUUCACGCAAGGAAAACCACAUGAUAUUGUGCAGACAUGUGUCCACCUGCCAGAAGAAAGGGGCUACUUGCAAGCAGUCGAACUGCUGAACAGCAGGUACGACACUGGGGUUUAUGCAGUGACCAGUCUGAUCACCCAGAUGCAGAACCUGCCAGCUCUUCGGGCAGAUGAUGCGGAAGCUCUGGAUGACCUCAGCAUUUUCCUGAGAGGAUGUUUGAAUGCCCUUGAGACCCAGCCUCAUGGCUUGCGCUCGGUUGAUCCUAAAACCAUCUGCAAGCUGCUUGAGAAGCUGCCCCACCACAUGAUUGAGAAGUGGAGACGACUGGUGGAUGACAUCGAGCACGUGGAGAGACGCCAGGCGAACUUCAGAGACCUGGUUGGGUACAUUGAGAAGGAGGCUAGGAUAGCCAUGAACCCAUCCUAUGGACGACAGGUCCUGGGAUCAAGUGGAAGGCCCAGACUUCAUGAAGCCAGGAAGACAGAGCCACGGGCUGUCAGGAAGACAGCUGUGGGCAAGACCCUAGCUGGGAGCAUCCAGUCUGUGGGCAAUCCAAUGAAGUGCUACUUCUGUGAGGGAAUGCACAAGACCGAAUCCUGCAAGAAACUCCAACAGAAGACACCAGAGGAAAGAACCACAUUUGUUAAGCAGAAUGGCCUCUGCUUUGCUUGUUUGCAGCAUGGGCAUCGAUCCAGAUUCUGCAAAGAAAGAAGAAACUGUGAGAAGUGUGGAAGAAGCCAUCCGACAGUGCUCCACAUUGACAAGCCAGAGAGCCCUACAGUGACUUCGGGCCACCUGGCACCCAGCAGGACAGGAGGCGGCAAGCUGCAGGUUCUCAAGGUACAGGUAUGCUUUGGUGACCUCAAAGUGACCACAAAUGCCUUUCUCGACAGCGGAAGCACGCACUCCUUCAUAUCGAGUCAUCUGCUGGAUGAGCUGGGAUUGAAGCAGCAGAAGAGGACCUCGCUCAAGGUGUCUACCAUCAGUGGAGAGCAGACAAUGAACAGCAGCAUCAUCCCUGGACUGCUCAUUGAAGACCUGGACCAAGGCAAUGUUAUGGAGCUGCCCCCGUUGUAUGUUCUGAGCCGCAUCCCUGUCGUGACUGAUGAUGUGCCUUCCCAGGAAGACAUGCAGAGAUGGACGUAUCUGCAAGAAGCCGGUGUGACCCUGAGGACGAUGGACGCUGGAGAAGAGGUCGGUCUCCUGAUUGGAGGCAAUGCAGGCGGCGUGAUGGAACCGCUGCAAGUCUGCCCCAGCCAACACGGAGGACCGCACGCGAUCCUGACCAGGUUCGGCUGGAUCCUGGGCGGACUGAAGAACGAGAGAGGCAGAUGUCAAGUGAAUCGCAUCAAAGUAGACAUGAAUGACCAGAUGUCUGAAGAAUGGUUUGAAAACAGAGCUGAGACAAGAAAAGGGCUUUCAAUAGAAGAUCUCAGGUGGUGCAACCAAAUGGAAAACGGCUGUAUCAAGAAAGAGAAGUACGAGAUCACACUGCCAUUUCGGGACCAGACGCCUCCUCUCGAGAACAACCGAAGUGUGGCAGAGGGGCGCCUGGAACUGCUGAAGAGGAAGUUGAACAAGGACGAGAAGUACGCGGAGGAGUACAUCGCUCGUAUGAACAAACUUCUCGAAGAUGGGCAUGCUGAAGUGGCACCUGAGGCUGCAGACGACUCAAGGAGGUGGUACCUUCCCCACUUUGCGGUGAGGCACCCGACGAAGGACAAUCUUCGCGUCGUCUUCGAUUGUGCAAGCAAGUAUCGAGGCACCAGUCUCAACGAUACGCUGCUCCAGGGCCCCGACCUGACCACCCCGUUGGUGGACGUUCUGAUUCGUUUUCGUCUUAACCCUUGCGCAUUCACCGGAGACAUUGAAGCCAUGUUUCUGCAGGUCUCCGUUCCAGAAAGUCAGAGGGAUUACCUGAGGUUCCUGUGGUGGCCGGAAGGAGUUACCAGCAAGCCUGCUCGCGAGUACCGGAUGAAGGUCCACCUGUUCGGAGCGACAUCAUCGCCCAGCUGCGCCAACCUCGCGCUCCACCGCGCAGCGGAAGACAACAAGUCCCUGUCAAAGGAAGCAAGCAAGACGAUACGAAGUAACUUUUAUGUUGACGACGUCCUUAAGUCUGUGCAGGACGACGAAGCUGCCAUCAAGCUGCUGAAAGAGCUGAAGGAAAUGUGUGCUCUUGGGGGAUUUAAGCUGACGAAGUUCAACAGCAACAGUGUCAAAGUCCUUCAAUCGGUUCCUCAACCGGAGAGAAGCAAGCAGGUGAAGGAUCUGGUCCUCGGCUCUGACCCCUUACCGACAGAGCGCGCACUUGGAGUUGUAUGGGAUCCGAACACAGACACCAUCGGCUUCAGCGUGGACAUGAAGAAGCUGAAUCAGAAGCCGGCCACGAGGAGAGGAUAUCUGUCUGCUGCAGCUUCUUGCUACGAUCCUCUCGGGCUGGUCGCUCCCUGCGUUGUCAGGGCUCGGAUGGUCGUCCAGAAGCUGCAUCGACUUGGCGGGAGCUGGGAUGAAGAAGUCCCGGAGAGUCUGAGAAGGGAGUGGGAAGAAUGGCUGCGGGACCUGAGCCACCUGUCGCUCCUGAAGAUCCCAAGAUGUCUCUCACCUCUGGGGCUCGACGCGGCGCUUGCUGCCGGAGACAAGAUCCAGCUUCAUCUCUUCGCUGAUGCCAGUACGUCAGCGUACGGGGUUGUGACCUAUGUAUGUUGUGUCGACGAGGAGACUGACCACGCCAGUUGCAGGAUUCUGUUUAGCCGGGCGCGACUGGCGCCGAUGAGACAGCUCAGCGUUCCCCGUCUGGAGCUAGCUGCGGCGACGCUCGCCGUGAGGAGCAGCGUGGACCUGCGGAGAGCUUUGGACGUGGACGUGGACGUGCACUUCUGGACGGAUAGCACAACCGUCCUCAAAUACAUCAGAAAUGAGAAGACAAGGUUUCCUGUGUUCGUCGCGAACCGCCUCUCAGUGAUUCACGAUGGCUCGACGGUCGAACAGUGGCACUAUGUGCCGAGUGAGUUGAACCCAGCGGACCUCGUGUCACGCGGGAUGAAGGCCUCAUCUCUCAUCAACAGCGACCUCUGGAAGUUCGGGCCCAGUUUCCUGAAAGAGGCACAGUGGCCUGUAAACCCCGAUGAUGAAGAAUGUGUGCACGAUGCCGAUCAGGAGGACGUAAGGGUUGCUGCGAUGAAGACGGGCGAGGAGUCGUCACCCAUGGAGAAGCUGACUCGGCACUACUCGUCCUGGAGACGCCUGGUCAGGGCCGUUGCCCUGCUUCGUCGGUUGGUUCGUCGGUGGAAGAAUGCUACUCGCGGUGCGACACUCAAAGCGUGCCUGACUGUUGCGGAGCUGAAGGCAGCUGAGAGUGCCAUCAUCCGAGACAUACAAGCUCGGCACUUCAGUGAGGAGCUCUGUGACCUGAAGACAGGGAAACCUGUGCGCAAGUCGAGCAAGCUGGCGCGUCUGGAUCCAUGGCUGGACGGAGACAUGAUUCGAGUUGGUGGUCGACUGAGCCAGAGUGCUCUCCCAUUCGAUUCGAAGCAUCCUAAGAUUCUUCCAAAACGAGAUCCUGCGGUGGAUUUGAUCGUCACUGCAGCCCACGAACAAGCGGGACAUGAAGGGAGACAGCAUGUUCUGUCGGACCUCAGGGCAUCCUACUGGAUACUGGGAGCCAACGCGGCGGUGCGUCGCUGCCUCAGUCGCUGCGUCAGCUGCAAGAAACGCUUGAAGCAGCCGGAGCAUCAGAAGAUGGCAGAUCUUCCUGAAGAGCGAACGGAAGUUGGCGGGAAAGCGUUCGCCCACACUGGAGUGGAUUACUUCGGUCCUUUUUUCGUGAAGCAUGGUCGAUCUCAGGUUAAGAAGUAUGGCGUCGUGUUCACCUGCUUGACAAUACGCGCCGUUCACUUGGAAGUCGCUGACAGUUUGUCUACAGAUUCCUUCCUCUGUGCCCUCCGACGUUUUGUGGCACGUCGCGGAGGCGUGCAGUCUCUUCGAUCGGAUCAGGGGACAAACUUUAUCGGAGCGGAGAAGGAACUUAAGGAAGAACUCAAGAAGCUGAAAGAGCGUGACGGUGAGAUCCGGGAAGCAGCCCUCCAUCUGGGCAUCGACUGGCGCUUUCAUCCGCCUCACGCCUCUCACUUCGGUGGCGUGUGGGAGCGCCAGAUCCGCACCAUUAGGAAGAUUCUCACCAGUCUACUCACUCAACAGACCUUUUCACAUGAGACUCUGCAGACCAUGCUGUGCGAGGUGGAGGCGAUAAUCAAUAACCGCCCGCUGACACCCUUUUCAACUGACGCCUUUGACCAGCCGCCUCUAACCCCGAACCACCUCCUGCUUCUCCGGAGUGUCGUGUUUCCUCCGUCGUCUGCAGAGUGGGACCACCGGAGAAGUUGGAAGCAGGCUGGUUACCUCGCGGAGCAGUUCUGGCGGAGGUGGAGAACUGAAUAUCUCCCUCUGCUGCAAGAGCGAGGCGGACGGACAACGAGAAGUCGUGUCAACAUCAAGAAGGGAGAUAUCGUCCUGAUGGUAGACGACACUGUGCCUCGUGGAGUGUGGCCACUGGGCCGCAUAGAAGACGCCUUCACGAGCGCUGAUGGACGGGUGCGCUCUGUCAGGAUUCGCGCCCGCGGCUCCUUCUACGUGAGGCCGGUCACCAAGGUGGUGAAGAUUGUUUGAAGAAGUUUAAGUUUGUUUUGACUGAGACGUCAAAAAGGGGCGGGUGUUGAUGCCUGCCACUUGACGGAGCGGUCACGCUACCUUAGCGACACCUGCGCCGAGCGGUUACCGGCGCGGGAUGGUGAGGCGGAGGAAGGCACACUUGAGUUCGCGCGGAUGACUGCUAGAUGGCGCAAGCGUCCUCUUCAUUCCUUUACCUUAUGCUGGCUCUGCGCGGCGGUAAUUUAGUGGCCGCCUCUUUUUCGGGUAGUUUGUUGUCAGCGGGCAGAUCAGCUGAUUGGUACUUGAGCAGCUCUAGUGCGGUAUUUACUUGUUACGCUCGGUUUAUGUAUGUUUUCUAUUUGUACUUAGUUUCGCUGGAUUAGGCUAGUACUGGGCUAAUAUUUCUGUUAUCCGUAUAUCCAUUGCUAACGAUUACGUGUAAGGGAUAUGUUCAUGCAUUGCCUUUUAUUUUGCGCGUCCUUAAGUACUUGCGCGUAGCCUCGAUUGGCGACCUCUAGGAAGCGGCCAUGAUCGCUCUUUUGACCGUGAUCCUCCGUCGAGGAUGGAGCUGUGACGCCUGAGCAGAGGCGAUAUCGUCGAAACCGCUACGUUUCGCAUCGUUUCGAGGCAGUGGGAUGACCUUGACCUUGGGUCAUGCGUUGGUCAUGAUCUGGAUCCCCGCGGCCUAAAGUCCAAUACAAGAGAGACGGUGCCAA
RNAcentral lists this unclassified non-coding RNA (7792 nucleotides) under Amphibalanus amphitrite. Its description in RNAcentral is "uncharacterized LOC122377501, transcript variant X3". Lineage: Eukaryota; Metazoa; Arthropoda; Thecostraca; Balanomorpha; Balanidae. The record is from RNAcentral.